GAUUUAAAAACAGUUCAUCUGAUUAAAAGUUAUCUCAGAGAUAAAGCAAAAGAAACCGCAACCCGGACCCCCAUCCCUCAAAGAUCGCUUCUGAGCUCACAAUUAACUUUGAAGCUUUCAGACUGUAACGUUCUAUGAAACGUAAUGUAUUUCCAUGAGCAAGAUCAUAAUUUUAGAUUUUACAUCAUUAGUGACUAAGUGCGGCAAUUCCAAACACUUCUCAAUGGGAGGGGUGGAACCCCCUGCAGUGGGGAGUCCCCCAAAUACAUGUCCACGUCCCACAACUCGGAUACUUGGGUGUGUGACUUUGUUAGAAGCAGGGUCUUUACAGAUAUAAUUAGUUAAAAUGAAGUCAUGCUGGACUGGAAUGGACCCCGAUCCAAUGCCUAGUACACCUGUGCAAAGACAGAACUGGACAGAGACAGAAGCAGCCACGUGAAGACGGAGGCAGAGACGGGAGUGACGCAUCUUAAGGAUGGCUGCUGCCACCAAGGGCUGCAAGAGGCCAAGCGGAGCCUCCCCCAGAGCCGGGAUGUCGGGCUCCUGGCUCCUAGAACUGGGAAAGGCUCCAUUUCUGUUGUGUGAAGCCCCCUAAUUAAGCCACAAAGGUCCUUUGUUACAGCAGCUCUAAGAAACAACUAUACCCAAUCCCAAUUCCUUAAAACAAAAAAACAAAAAAACCCUUACUAUUACAAUUUGCUUUACACCGGCCUUAAUUUUGUGCUUUCCCCUUUUCAAAGAAAGCUCCAACAUAAACAGUGCUUGAGGGAGGUACAGCAGGUGAACCAGUCCGUCCUACAAAAGAAAAGCAGCUUCGGAAAAGGGACCAGCCGAGCUUGCCGGGAGGAGGGUCUGGCCCACUGGGCACGUGCUCGUGAAAAGGGUGGACACCACCAAGCACUUCUCACCACUCCUCAGUGGAAUGAGAGGCUAGGCCACACUCAGCCCCUCCGCCCAGCUGCACCCUGCAGAGGCAACCACUGUUCACUAUUUGGGCGCUUAUCUUUCUAGAACAUUCAUAAGCAUCUAGAACACAUGUGUUUUUACACAGAUGGAUCCUACAGCAUCACCGUUCACCUCGCCUUUUCCCUCCUGGGUAACGGGCCUUAUCCCCCCGCCUUGCUCUCUGUAACAGCAGCCUGCCAUGCCGUGCUGCCCCCUCGGCUCCCUGGGUCCACACGCCCCACGCAAACACCCCUGCACCCAUGAGCACCCACUCCGCGGGAUGAGCCCGGCCUGUGACAGCACCACUCUGACCAGGGGCCUCAGCAAAUGUUCUGGAAAUCCCACCCCCCUCUCAGGGAAUUUCUGAGUCCCCUCGUUCCCACUUUGCUUGGAUGUCGCUCUGGAAGUGAACAGACGGGAAAGAAGGGACACUUCAGUUAGGAUGACAUGUUUCGCGCUCAGCAAAAACCUAGAGGAAGACGCAGGUCUGGAUCCGACUUCAGCACAGAACUGGAAAGAGGGAAGAGCAGAACCUCUAGGAAGAUGGGUGGUGACAGCGAGGCCAGAGGGAGGAAAAGACCCUGGCAAGCAGGAACCGUCCAACACGAACUGGAGAUGGGGUGACAAAGUAUCAACUGGAACAGCUCACCAAGGAUGAGCCUGUAACCCGGGAUUUUUGCCCAAAGGCUUUAGGCACCUACAGUCUGUCACCGAUCAUAUCUCACUCUCCUCUGACUUCACAGGGCACCUUGGUGACCCAGGUCAGUGCUUUCAUUUGUCUGUCUUAUGGUCCUGACAACCUCACCCGAGAAGAGUCCAGACCUUCCUUUCGGGACUGACAGAGGCAGAGGUGCUGCUCUGAAGGCCAAUGGGUCAGCAUGAACACCCCCACACCCCCUCCCAGCAGGCAGCCCUCCGCGCCAGAACUGGGAGGUGCAGGGGCCGGGGGACCACAGCCACGGCCCUCUGAACCCCCCACACAGCUAUGGGCUGCAGCUGGAGCAACGACACGUGGCGAGAGCCAACAACGGCCACCUUAACAUAAAAUACUAAGAACAGAAAGAAGGACACCAAAUCCUGAUGGAAUCUCGGGUUCUCACGGCUGAUGAUGAAUCCUGUGGCACUGAACCUAAAAACACAAAUCCAGGCCUGUUUCUUGGCCUUGAACUUGUUCAUUUUCUUUGGAAACUGAUCACUUUUGUAAGUAUUACCAGCUGUCAGGGGCCUGGUCCCAUGGACGAGACAAGGUGACAGCCAGCACCACAGCUAUGGAGGCAUGGCAGUGUCCGGGGCUUUGACCUCUUCCACCUCACUCACUCACCCUCAGUACACCAACCACGCAACCUCCACCAGGCCUACCAGGCGGCUUCCAUCACCUCUCAUUCUACAGAAGGGCAAACUGAGGCUCGGGGGAGGGCAGCUGCAGUGCCUCCAUUUACCACAGCUCCCUCACAUCCUCUCUGGUGCCAGACAGCUUGGGCUAGACCUGAUUCUAAGCAUCCUUCCUUGCUGGUCAAAUGGAGACAGUAAGAGAAACAAACAUCUCUGCAAACAACGGCAGCACAUGCUCAGGACUGGCGGGGGCCGCUCACGGAGCUUCCCAAGGGCACACGCUCUCAACUCCACACCCCAGGCCUGGGCACAGGGCCCAGCACCACAUGGAUGCCCAAUAAAUGUCUGGGAACAAGACUGGAGAUCCAGAGAUCAGGACCUGGACUGUUCCACCCUGUUCACAACACAGACACAGAAAACCAGGGACACGUGGCUGAGUGUGGGGUGAGGUCCAUUGGCUCCAAAGGAAGGACUCACCAACCUUAAUUUUUGGCUUAAAAAUCAGCUUUCAAAUGUCAGUUUAGAAAUAAUUUGGCUUACGUGGAGACUUGCUGGGUGACAAUAUACACCCUAUGUGGGGCUGGCUUUGUCCCUCAUUGUUGGGAACCUGCCAGAGCCAGAGAAACAGGCAAAACCAUUGGGAGGCAGGGUGACCCCCAAAGGGCUGCCCGAUGUGUGCUCCCCCCAGCAGUGUGAGAACACCAGGACCCAGACUCGCGAGCCCCUGGGUUCUCAGCCCUUGCUGUCCUUAUGCUGGCGAGAUGCACUGACUCAUCCGGCUACUGCUCUGUCCCGUCAGUGACAGUUCUUAGCUACAGAAGCACACAGACCACUGCUGUCCAAAAACAAGGCCUGUCCCAGGACCCCAGCUUGCUCCCACAGACAUGACGCAGGCAGUCAGCAAGUGGGCUGACAUCCCCUGGGAGAGCCUGUCGCUGGGACCCACAGUUCCAGAGCUCCAGGCUCAAACACAAAACAUGUAAGUCUAUCAGUAAUCCUGUGGACCAGCCUUAAAAAGAAGAGGCACAGCCUCUUGGCCUUCAUCCCUGUGGAGUCGGCUCCAGCUGCAGAGUCCACAAAAGGCAGCAGCUUACCGCCGCCCCUGCCAGCCACGGGGCAGGCAGCUGUGCACGGUUCCUGGAGCAGCCUCCAUGCCGCUUGCAGGAGCCCAGGUGGGCAAAGAGGGCCUCGUCCUCCAAAUGCCAGGGCUCUGCAGCUGAUGGGUGAUUGCUGCUUCUAAUAACAGGUGCAGACAAACAGGUAGGGAGCCACUGUUGUUGCCCCUCCCCCUUGUUGCAAGCCCCACCCCUUCCAGCUGAACAGGCUGCCAGGGGAUUUAAAGGGCCUGUGCCCUUUUUCACCCCCAAUGAUUUUUCACUUUUUCCCAUCUUCGGAGCCAGACACUAAAGAAUAGGACAUUCGAAAGCAACCGCAUAUAAAGGGGAAAUUAGAAAGCGACCACACAUGCCCAGGGAAAGGCAUGGGCUCAGAAAGACCUGAGAAGGCCUUAAGUUAUUCCUCAGGCUGAUCCUUGGCACAGAGACCACCUGCAACAACCAAAGAAAACAAUAACAAAAAACCCCAGCAAACCCUGGAAAGGAGGAGGAUCUAAUUUCCACAGAUACCACAUUAUUAGAUCCAAAUGUCCAGUUUUUAACAACAACAACAAAAAAUGCUACAAAGACAGGAAAAUACAGCCCAUUCAAAUGAAAAAAAUACAUCAACAGAAGCUGUCCCUGAAAAACACCUGAUGGCAGAUCUUCUAGACAAAACUUUAAAACAAUCAUCUUAAAGAUUCUCAAGGAACUAAAAGAAGAUGGGGAGAAAGUCAAGAAAGCAAAGUAUGAACAAAAUUGAAAUAUGAAUAAAGAGACAGGAAACCUCAAAAGAAACCAAAAAAAUCGGGAGCUGAAAAAGUAUAGUAACUCACAUGAAAAAUUCACUGCGGAGAUUCAAAGGCAGAUUUGAGCGGGAAGAAGAAUCAGCGAACAUGAGGAAAGGACGAUGGAAAUGAUCAACGCUGAGAAAUGGAAAGAAAAAAGAUUGAUGAAACGUGACCUGCUGGACACCAUCAGGCAGACUAACAUACAUGUGAAAGUCCCAGCAGGAUAAGAAAGGAAGGGGCAGAAAGAAUAUUUGAAGGAAUAAUGACUAAAAUCUUCCCAAAUUUGAUGAAAGAUAUGAAUAUAAACAUUCAAGAAGCUCAAAGAUCUCCAAGUAACAUGAACUAAAAAGGCCCACACCAAGACACGUUAUAAUCAAACUGUUGAAAGCCAAGGACAAAGAGAGACUCUUGAAAGCAGCAAGAGAGAAGCAACUUGUCACAUACAAGGGGUCCCCAGUAAGAUUAUCAGCCGACGUCUCAUCAGAUACUUCGACGGCCAAAAGGCAAUGGGCCCAUAUAUGAAAAGUGCUAAAAGAAAAAAAAAAUCUGUCAACCAAGAAUCUUAUAUCCAGCAAAACUGUCCUUCCAAAGUGAGGGAGAAAUGAAGACAUUCCAAGAUAAACAAAAGCUGAGGAACUUCAUUACCAGUAGACCUGCCCUACAGGAGAUGUCCAGGGGCGUCCUGGAGGGUGAAGCGAGGACACUAGGCAGUCACUGAAAACUGAGUGUAAAAAUAAAGAUGCCGAGAAAGGUAAAUACAUGGGCUAUUAUAAAAGCUAGUAUUGUAACAACAA
Molecule: long non-coding RNA, 4956 nt
Organism: Hipposideros armiger (great roundleaf bat)
Lineage: Eukaryota; Metazoa; Chordata; Mammalia; Chiroptera; Hipposideridae
Exons: 2
Source: RefSeq, a predicted model, not a curated record